UGAUCCAAGACGGAUUCGAACCGUCGGCCUUCUGCGUGUAAAGCAGACGUGAUAACCACUACACCACUGGACC
Onchocerca flexuosa is the source of this 73-nucleotide non-coding RNA. The record is from the annotation of a GenBank genome assembly. Lineage: Eukaryota; Metazoa; Nematoda; Chromadorea; Rhabditida; Onchocercidae.